This 492-nucleotide ribosomal RNA is filed under the name uncultured bacterium. Its description in RNAcentral is "partial 16S ribosomal RNA". It matches the Rfam family "Bacterial small subunit ribosomal RNA", at positions 29 to 507 of the family's 1533-position model. The record is from RNAcentral.
AGUGAACGCUGGCGGUAGGCCUAACACAUGCAAGUCGAACGGCAGCACAGUAAGAGCUUGCUCUUACGGGUGGCGAGUGGCGGACGGGUGAGGAAUACAUCGGAAUCUACUUUUUCGUGGGGGAUAACGUAGGGAAACUUACGCUACUACCGCAUACGACCUACGGGUGAAAGCAGGGGAUCUUCGGACCUUGCGCGAUUGAAUGAGCCGAUGUCGGAUUAGCUAGUUGGCGGGGUAAAGGCCCACCAAGGCGACGAUGCGUAGCUGGUCUGAGAGGAUGAUCAGCCACACUGGAACUGAGACACGGUCCAGACUCCUACGGGAGGCAGCAGUGGGGAAUAUUGGACAAUGGGCGCAAGCCUGAUCCAGCCAUGCCGCGUGGGUGAAGAAGGCCUUCGGGUUGUAAAGCCCUGUUGUUGGGAAAGAAAAGCAGCAGGUUAAUACCCCGCUGUUCUGACGGUACCCAAAGAAUAAGCACCGGCUAACUUCGUG